RNAcentral lists this ribosomal RNA (519 nucleotides) under Streptococcus intermedius. Its description in RNAcentral is "bacterial SSU rRNA". It matches the Rfam family "Bacterial small subunit ribosomal RNA", at positions 385 to 897 of the family's 1533-position model. The record is from RNAcentral. Lineage: Bacteria; Bacillati; Bacillota; Bacilli; Lactobacillales; Streptococcaceae.
GACCGAGCAACGCCGCGUGAGUGAAGAAGGUUUUCGGAUCGUAAAGCUCUGUUGUUAAGGAAGAACGAGUGUGAGAAUGGAAAGUUCAUACUGUGACGGUACUUAACCAGAAAGGGACGGCUAACUACGUGCCAGCAGCCGCGGUAAUACGUAGGUCCCGAGCGUUGUCCGGAUUUAUUGGGCGUAAAGCGAGCGCAGGCGGUUAGAUAAGUCUGAAGUUAAAGGCAGUGGCUCAACCAUUGUAGGCUUUGGAAACUGUUUAACUUGAGUGCAGAAGGGGAGAGUGGAAUUCCAUGUGUAGCGGUGAAAUGCGUAGAUAUAUGGAGGAACACCGGUGGCGAAAGCGGCUCUCUGGUCUGUAACUGACGCUGAGGCUCGAAAGCGUGGGGAUCGACAGAUUAGAUACCCUGGUAGUCCACGCCGUAAACGAUGAGUGCUAGGUGUUAGGUCCUUUCCGGGACUUAGUGCCGCAGCUAACGCAUUAAGCACUCCGCCUGGGGAGUACGAACGCAAGGUGAA